AUACGUAGGGGGCGAGCGUUGUCCGGAAUGAUUGGGCGUAAAGGGCGCGUAGGCGGCGCGGUAAGUCUGGAGUGAAAGUCCUGCUUUCAAGGUGGGAAUUGCUUUGGAUACUGCCGCGCUUGAGUGCAGGAGAGGUUAUCGGAAUUCCCGGUGUAGCGGUGAAAUGCGUAGAGAUCGGGAGGAACACCAGUGGCGAAGGCGGGUAACUGGACUGCAACUGACGCUGAGGCGCGAAAGUGUGGGGAGCAAACAGGAUUAGAUGCCCUGGUAGUCCACACUGUAAACGAUGAAUGCUAGGUGUAAGAGGUAUCGACCCCUUUUGUGCCGGAGUCAACACAAUAAGCAUUCCGCCUGGGGAGUACGGCCGCAAGGUUGAAACUCAAAGGAAUUGACGGGG
This 397-nucleotide ribosomal RNA is filed under the name uncultured bacterium. Its description in RNAcentral is "partial 16S ribosomal RNA". It matches the Rfam family "Bacterial small subunit ribosomal RNA", at positions 523 to 918 of the family's 1533-position model. The record is from RNAcentral.